This 200-nucleotide unclassified non-coding RNA is filed under the name Tomentella sp. RNAcentral's name for it is "partial internal transcribed spacer 2". The record is from RNAcentral. Lineage: Eukaryota; Fungi; Basidiomycota; Agaricomycetes; Thelephorales; Thelephoraceae.
UUAAGUUCAGCGGGUAGUCCUACCUGAUUUGAGAUCAAACAUCCAAAAAGCUGUCCUCGCUGAGGAGAGACAUUUGUGAGCCCCAGCGAACCUCCAUCACUGAAGGUUGCCUGACGGAAAACCACAAGCGUAGAUAGUUAUCACACCUGGGAUGCCACCAAACACUGGGAAGCUGAUCCAUUUGAGAGGAGCCGACCAUG